GCGCCUGUAGCUCAAUUGGAUAGAGUGUCGGACUUCGAAUCCGCAGGUUGCAGGUUCGAGCCCUGCCAGGCGCA
RNAcentral lists this transfer RNA (74 nucleotides) under Candidatus Babeliales bacterium. RNAcentral's name for it is "tRNA-Arg". It matches the Rfam family "tRNA". Rfam says of the family: Transfer RNA (tRNA) molecules are approximately 80 nucleotides in length. Their secondary structure includes four short double-helical elements and three loops (D, anti-codon, and T loops). Lineage: Bacteria; Candidatus Babeliae; Candidatus Babeliales. The record is from RNAcentral.